RNAcentral lists this ribosomal RNA (374 nucleotides) under uncultured bacterium. RNAcentral's name for it is "bacterial SSU rRNA". It matches the Rfam family "Bacterial small subunit ribosomal RNA", at positions 524 to 898 of the family's 1533-position model. The record is from RNAcentral.
UACGUAGGGUGCGAGCGUUAAUCGGAAUUACUGGGCGUAAAGCGUGCGCAGGCGGUUUUGUAAGACCGAUGUGAAAUCCCCGGGCUCAACCUGGGAACUGCAUUGGUGACUGCAAGGCUGGAGUGCGGCAGAGGGGGAUGGAAUUCCGCGUGUAGCAGUGAAAUGCGUAGAUAUGCGGAGGAACACCGAUGGCGAAGGCAAUCCCCUGGGCCUGCACUGACGCUCAUGCACGAAAGCGUGGGGAGCAAACAGGAUUAGAUACCCUGGUAGUCCACGCCCUAAACGAUGUCAACUGGUUGUUGGGUCUUUGCUGACUCAGUAACGAAGCUAACGCGUGAAGUUGACCGCCUGGGGAGUACGGCCGCAAGGUUGAA